AUUGAACGCUGGCGGCAUGCUUUACACAUGCAAGUCGAACGGCAGCGCGGGCUUCGGCCUGGCGGCGAGUGGCGAACGGGUGAGUAAUGCAUCGGAACGUGCCCAGUAGUGGGGGAUAGCCCGGCGAAAGCCGGAUUAAUACCGCAUACGACCUGAGGGUGAAAGCGGGGGACCGAAAGGCCUCGCGCUAUUGGAGCCGCCGAUGUCGGAUUAGCUAGUUGGUGGGGUAAAGGCUUACCAAGGCGACGAUCCGUAGCUGGUCUGAGAGGACGACCAGCCACACUGGGACUGAGACACGGCCCAGACUCCUACGGGAGGCAGCAGUGGGGAAUUUUGGACAAUGGGGGCAACCCUGAUCCAGCCAUGCCGCGUGCGGGAAGAAGGCCUUCGGGUUGUAAACCGCUUUUGUUCGGGAAGAAAUCCUCUGGGCUAAUACCCCGGGGGGAUGACGGUACCGGAACAAUAAGCACCGGCUAACUACGUG
RNAcentral lists this ribosomal RNA (484 nucleotides) under uncultured bacterium. Its description in RNAcentral is "partial 16S ribosomal RNA". It matches the Rfam family "Bacterial small subunit ribosomal RNA", at positions 28 to 507 of the family's 1533-position model. The record is from RNAcentral.